This is a long non-coding RNA of Carassius carassius (crucian carp), 375 nucleotides long. RefSeq lists it as uncharacterized. The transcript has 3 exons. NCBI's taxonomy places the organism in Eukaryota, Metazoa, Chordata, Actinopteri, Cypriniformes, Cyprinidae. The record is from RefSeq and is a predicted model, not a curated record.
AUCCCACAGCUUUCACUGACCCAGCAGCAGAUGGCACCACAGGCUCAGAGUACAGCAGUUCUUGAGCUGCUCAGCCAUGUGUUGGGAGUUGGACAGUGACAUGGCUGGCUAACGUUACUCAAGAGCAACCGGCAGGCAGUAUUUUGGGUGAGGAGGAUGGAGAGAGAACUCUGGAGGAGAACAAGCUGAGAUCUGAGACUCCUGCCGAGCACGAGCCCGUAUCUGCAUCAAGUCAGAUUGCUUCCUCAAUGGGCAUCAACCCUCAUACCUUACAGAUUAUGAAGGUCUCUCUUUGCAGAGGAUGAUGAAUGUGAUUUGUUUCAAGAGCAUAGUUCUUCAAAGCUCAUACAGGAUGUUGUUUCCCCUAAAGUUUUG